UGGGGAAUCUUCCGCAAUGGACGAAAGUCUGACGGAGCAACGCCGCGUGAGUGAUGACGGCCUUCGGGUUGUAAAGCUCUGUUAAUCGGGACGAAUGGUUCUUGUGCGAAUAGUGCGAGGAUUUGACGGUACCGGAAUAGAAAGCCACGGCUAACUACGUGCCAGCAGCCGCGGUAAUACGGAGGUGGCAAGCGUUGUCCGGAAUUAUUGGGCGUAAAGCGCGCGCAGGCGGAUUGGUCAGUCUGUCUUAAAAGUUCGGGGCUUAACCCCGUGAUGGGAUGGAAACUGCCAAUCUAGAGUAUCGGAGAGGAAAGUGGAAUUCCUAGUGUAGCGGUGAAAUGCGUAGAUAUUAGGAAGAACACCAGUGGCGAAGGCGACUUUCUGGACGAAAACUGACGCUGAGGCGCGAAAGCCAGGGGAGCGAACGGG
Molecule: ribosomal RNA, 429 nt
Filed under: bacterium
Lineage: Bacteria
Description: partial 16S ribosomal RNA
Rfam family: Bacterial small subunit ribosomal RNA
Source: RNAcentral